This 467-nucleotide ribosomal RNA is filed under the name uncultured bacterium. RNAcentral describes it as "partial 16S ribosomal RNA". It matches the Rfam family "Bacterial small subunit ribosomal RNA", at positions 28 to 507 of the family's 1533-position model. The record is from RNAcentral.
GACGAACGCUGGCGGCGUGCUUAACACAUGCAAGUCGAACGACGACGACCGAGCUUGCUCGGUCUGAUUAGUGGCGAACGGGUGAGUAACACGUGAGCAACCUGCCCUUCACUUUGGGGUAACCUCGGGAAAUCGGGGCUAAUACCGGAUAUGAGCCGCCCUCCCGGGGUGGGCGUUGGAACGUUUUUCGGUGAAGGAUGGGCUGGGGGCCUAUCAGUUUGUUGGUGGGGUAGUGGCUCACCAAGGCGAUGACGGGUACCCGGCCUGGGAGGGGGACCAGCCACCCGGGGACUGCGAGACGGCCCAGACUCGUACGGGAGGCAGCAGUGGGGAAUAUUGCCCAAUGGGCGAAGGCCUGAUGCAGCGACGCCGCGUGAGGGAUGACGGCCUUCGGGUUGUAAACCUCUUUCAGCAGGGAAGAAGCGAAAGUGACGGUACCUGCAGAAGAAGCGCCGGCUAACUACGUG